RNAcentral lists this ribosomal RNA (245 nucleotides) under uncultured archaeon. RNAcentral describes it as "partial 16S ribosomal RNA". It matches the Rfam family "Archaeal small subunit ribosomal RNA", at positions 474 to 718 of the family's 1478-position model. The record is from RNAcentral.
CACCCGCGCCACAAGUGGUGAUCAGAAUUAUUGGGCCUAAAGCGUCCGUAGCCGGCUUUGUAAAUUCUUUGUGAAAUCGUUGUGCUCAACGCAACGGCGGGCAAGGAACACUGCACAGCUAGAAACCAGGAGGGGCAAGAGGUAUUCUGUGGGGAGCGGUAAAAUGCUAUAAUCCACGGAGGACCACCGAUGGCGAAGGCAUCUUGCCAGAAUGGAUUUGACGGUGAGGGACGAAAGCCAGGGGA